Molecule: long non-coding RNA, 556 nt
Organism: Oncorhynchus tshawytscha (Chinook salmon)
Lineage: Eukaryota; Metazoa; Chordata; Actinopteri; Salmoniformes; Salmonidae
Source: Ensembl
UGAAUAUAGUCGCCCCCGAAAGCAUUUCUCAUUUCCAUAUAUCCUGUUUCACAUCUCUCUCUGUAUUAUACAUAAUAACAGGUGGCAGGUUUAAAGAACUCUUAACCGUGAUCCAAUGAAUGUGCUGCUGGUGCCUUAUGUUUGUACUUUUGGUUGGAAUGACAAUGAACGACAUUUCUUGUCGUCUCUCUUGACCUACAGUUAACAGAUGCAGGAACAAGGAGAAACAGACAAACACUUGGAUUACCCAGAAGAAGCACCAGAUCUCAGAAGGUGAAGAUGAUUUGUGCUAUGCCACCUUGUCCCAUGCUGGUGCUCCUCCAUCCUACUCAGUCAAGUUUGAACAAGGCCAUGACUAUGCCACAGUGGUCAUAUACUGACCAGCAUUGCCGAACUGAAUGGACAUGAAAGGACUUCCAAAUGGAUAGAUUGCUUGACUUUAACACCUACAUUUCAAUUUUCUUUCCAAGAAAUCAUUUGCAUAAAUCUAUUUGCAAUGUAGUUUUGAUUAUCCAAUUUGUCACAUUAAGAGAACAAUAAAGUUUUUGUAUUCCAC